RNAcentral lists this ribosomal RNA (466 nucleotides) under uncultured bacterium. RNAcentral's name for it is "partial 16S ribosomal RNA". It matches the Rfam family "Bacterial small subunit ribosomal RNA", at positions 28 to 507 of the family's 1533-position model. The record is from RNAcentral.
GACGAACGCUGGCGGCGUGCUUAACACAUGCAAGUCGAACGGAAAGGCCCUGCUUGCAGGGCACUCGAGUGGCGAACGGGUGAGUAACACGUGGGUGAUCUGCCCUGCACUUCGGGAUAAGCUUGGGAAACUGGGUCUAAUACCGGAUAGGAACCAUCUUUAGUGUGGUGGUUGGAAAGUUUUUUCGGUGUAGGAUGAGCUCGCGGCCUAUCAGCUUGUUGGUGGGGUAAUGGCCUACCAAGGCGGCGACGGGUAGCCGGCCUGAGAGGGUGUACGGCCACAUUGGGACUGAGAUACGGCCCAGACUCCUACGGGAGGCAGCAGUGGGGAAUAUUGCACAAUGGGCGCAAGCCUGAUGCAGCGACGCCGCGUGGGGGAUGAAGGCCUUCGGGUUGUAAACUCCUUUCGCUAGGGACGAAGCUUUGUUGUGACGGUACCUAGAGAAGAAGCACCGGCUAACUACGUG